Molecule: ribosomal RNA, 1372 nt
Filed under: uncultured bacterium
Lineage: Bacteria
Description: bacterial SSU rRNA
Rfam family: Bacterial small subunit ribosomal RNA
Source: RNAcentral
GAUGAACGCUGGCGGCGUGCCUAAUACAUGCAAGUCGAGCGAACGGACGAGAAGCUUGCUUUUCUGAUGUUAGCGGCGGACGGGUGAGUAACACGUGGAUAACCUACCUAUAAGACUGGGAUAACUUCGGGAAACCGGAGCUAAUACCGGAUAAUAUUUUGAACCGCAUGGUUCAAAAGUGAAAGACGGUCUUGCUGUCACUUAUAGAUGGAUCCGCGCUGCAUUAGCUAGUUGGUAAGGUAACGGCUUACCAAGGCAACGAUGCAUAGCCGACCUGAGAGGGUGAUCGGCCACACUGGAACUGAGACACGGUCCAGACUCCUACGGGAGGCAGCAGUAGGGAAUCUUCCGCAAUGGGCGAAAGCCUGACGGAGCAACGCCGCGUGAGUGAUGAAGGUCUUCGGAUCGUAAAACUCUGUUAUUAGGGAAGAACAUAUGUGUAAGUAACUGUGCACAUCUUGACGGUACCUAAUCAGAAAGCCACGGCUAACUACGUGCCAGCAGCCGCGGUAAUACGUAGGUGGCAAGCGUUAUCCGGAAUUAUUGGGCGUAAAGCGCGCGUAGGCGGUUUUUUAAGUCUGAUGUGAAAGCCCACGGCUCAACCGUGGAGGGUCAUUGGAAACCGGAAAACUUGAGUGCAGAAGAGGAAAGUGGAAUUCCAUGUGUAGCGGUGAAAUGCGCAGAGAUGUGGAGGAACACCAGUGGCGAAGGCGACUUUCUGGUCUGUAACUGACGCUGAUGUGCGAAAGCGUGGGGAUCAAACAGGAUUAGAUACCCUGGUAGUCCACGCCGUAAACGAUGAGUGCUAAGUGUUAGGGGGUUUCCGCCCCUUAGUGCUGCAGCUAACGCAUUAAGCACUCCGCCUGGGGAGUACGACCGCAAGGUUGAAACUCAAAGGAAUUGACGGGGGCCCGCACAAGCGGUGGAGCAUGUGGUUUAAUUCGAAGCAACGCGAAGAACCUUACCAAAUCUUGACAUCCUUUGACAACUCUAGAGAUAGAGCCUUCCCCUUCAGGGGACAAAGUGACAGGUGGUGCAUGGUUGUCGUCAGCUCGUGUCGUGAGAUGUUGGGUUAAGUCCCGCAACGAGCGCAACCCUUAAGCUUAGUUGCCAUCAUUAAGUUGGGCACUCUAAGUUGACUGCCGGUGACAAACCGGAGGAAGGUGGGGAUGACGUCAAAUCAUCAUGCCCCUUAUGAUUUGGGCUACACACGUGCUACAAUGGACAAUACAAAGGGCAGCGAAACCGCGAGGUCAAGCAAAUCCCAUAAAGUUGUUCUCAGUUCGGAUUGUAGUCUGCAACUCGACUACAUGAAGCUGGAAUCGCUAGUAAUCGUAGAUCAGCAUGCUACGGUGAAUACGUUCCCGGGUCU